AUACGGAGGGUGCGAGCGUUACUCGGAGUCACUGGGCGUAAAGCGUCCGUAGGCGGUCGGGUAAGUCGGGUGUGAAAGCCCCGGCUCAACCUGGGAAGUGCACCCGAUACUGCUCGACUCGAGUGCGGGAGAGGAUGGCGGAAUUCCCGGUGUAGCGGUGAAAUGCGUAGAGAUCGGGAGGAACACCAGUGGCGAAGGCGGCCAUCUGGCCCGCAACUGACGCUGAGGGACGAAAGCGUGGGGAGCAAACAGGAUUAGAAACCCCAGUAGUCC
RNAcentral lists this ribosomal RNA (273 nucleotides) under uncultured bacterium. RNAcentral's name for it is "partial 16S ribosomal RNA". It matches the Rfam family "Bacterial small subunit ribosomal RNA", at positions 523 to 796 of the family's 1533-position model. The record is from RNAcentral.